RNAcentral lists this transfer RNA (174 nucleotides) under Ostreococcus tauri. RNAcentral's name for it is "tRNA-Val". Lineage: Eukaryota; Viridiplantae; Chlorophyta; Mamiellophyceae; Mamiellales; Bathycoccaceae. The record is from RNAcentral.
GCACCGUUGGUCUAGUUGGUUAUGACGCUCGCCUAACACGCUUUGAUACGAAAGCAUUCGACGACUUACGCACGACUCACAUCGUGCAUGAGACACUGCUGACUACAGCUUACUCGCGCCUGCGAGGAAGACGUAGAACGCGAGAGGUCUCCGGUUCGAACCCGGAAUGGUGUA